This 839-nucleotide unclassified non-coding RNA is filed under the name Hevea brasiliensis (rubber tree). The record is from RNAcentral. Lineage: Eukaryota; Viridiplantae; Streptophyta; Magnoliopsida; Malpighiales; Euphorbiaceae.
UGGACUUUGGUUAUCCUCAAUAUACCGAAGCAAAAAUUCUUAGUGAGUUCAUAAAAACUGAUGCAUAUAGGAUGGAGGUUACACAAAGGCCUCCAAUGGCAGUUACAAAUGCUGUGUCCUGGCGUAGUGAAGGGAUAAAUUACAAGAAGAAUGAAGUGUUUUUGGAUGUUGUGGAGAGUGUUAAUAUACUUGUAAACAGCAAUGGGCAAAUAGUGAGAUCAGAUGUUGUUGGUGCACUGAAGAUGAGGGCAUACUUGAGUGGCAUGCCUGAGUGUAAGCUUGGUCUUAAUGAUAGAAUGUUGCUGGAAGCACAAGGGCGAACUACCAAGGGGAAGGCCAUUGAUCUUGAUGAUAUCAAGUUUCAUCAGUGUGUUCGCUUGGCCCGAUUUGAAAAUGAUCGCACUAUAUCAUUUAUACCGCCAGAUGGAGCCUUUGAUCUUAUGACCUACAGACUUGGUACUCAGGUAAAGCCUCUCAUAUGGGUGGAAGCUCAAGUGGAAAGGCAUUCUAGGAGCCGUAUGGAAAUUGUGGUUAAAGCACGGAGCCAGUUCAAGGAACGAAGUACUGCAACUAAUGUUGAAAUUGAGUUACCUGUGGCAACGGAUGCUACAAAUCCAAAUGUCCGAACAUCAAUGGGAUCAUCUACUUAUGCACCUGAAAAAGAUGCACUGAUUUGGAAAAUAAAAUCUUUCCCAGGUGGUAAGGAAUAUAUGUUGAGAGCGGAGUUUACUCUUCCCAGUAUUACAGCAGAAGAAUCAGUUCCUGAGAGAAAAGCUCCUAUACGUGUGAAAUUUGAAAUUCCUUAUUUUACUGUUUCUGGUAUACAGGUUCGCUACUUG